CGGCGGACGGGUGAGUAAUGUAUGGGGAGUCUGCCUGAUGGCGGGGGAUAACUACUGGAAACGGUAGCUAAUACCGCAUAACGUCGCAAGACCAAAGAGGGGGACCGUUCGGGCCUCUUGCCAUCGGAUGUGCCCAGAUGGGAUUAGCUAGUAGGUGGGGUAACGGCUCACCUAGGCGACGAUCCCUAGCUGGUCUGAGAGGAUGACCAGCCACACCGGAACUGAGACACGGUCCAG
RNAcentral lists this ribosomal RNA (237 nucleotides) under uncultured bacterium. RNAcentral's name for it is "partial 16S ribosomal RNA". It matches the Rfam family "Bacterial small subunit ribosomal RNA", at positions 96 to 334 of the family's 1533-position model. The record is from RNAcentral.